This 185-nucleotide non-coding RNA is filed under the name Brevibacterium casei S18. RNAcentral's name for it is "Bacterial small subunit ribosomal RNA". It matches the Rfam family "Bacterial small subunit ribosomal RNA", at positions 1 to 180 of the family's 1533-position model. The record is from Rfam by way of RNAcentral. Lineage: Bacteria; Bacillati; Actinomycetota; Actinomycetes; Micrococcales; Brevibacteriaceae.
UUUAUGGAGAGUUUGAUCCUGGCUCAGGACGAACGCUGGCUGCGUGCUUAACACAUGCAAGUCGAACGCUGAAGCCUGGUGCUUGCACCGGGUGGAUGAGUGGCGAACGGGUGAGUAACACGUGAGUAACCUGCCCCUGACUUCGGGAUAAGCCCGGGAAACUGGGUCUAAUACCGGAUACGACC